RNAcentral lists this ribosomal RNA (233 nucleotides) under uncultured bacterium. RNAcentral describes it as "partial 16S ribosomal RNA". It matches the Rfam family "Bacterial small subunit ribosomal RNA", at positions 99 to 334 of the family's 1533-position model. The record is from RNAcentral.
CGGACGGGGGAGUAAUGUCUGGGAAACGUGCCUGAUGGAGGGGGAUAACUACUGGAAACGGUAGCUAAUACCGCAUAACGUCGCAAGACCAAAGAGGGGGACCUUAGGGCCUCUUGCCAUCGGAUGUGCCCAGAUGGGAUUAGCUAGUAGGUGGGGUAACGGCUCACCUAGGCGACGAUCCCUAGCUGGUCUGAGAGGAUGACCAGCCACACUGGAACUGAGACACGGUCCAG